ACGGGUGAGUAACACGUGGGAACGUACCCUUUGGUUCGGAAUAACGCUGGGAAACUAGCGCUAAUACCGGAUACGCCCUUUUGGGGAAAGGCUUGCUGCCGAAGGAUCGGCCCGCGUCUGAUUAGCUAGUUGGUGGGGUAAUGGCCUACCAAGGCGACGAUCAGUAGCUGGUCUGAGAGGAUGAUCAGCCACACUGGGACUGAGACACGGCCCAGACUCCUACGGGAGGCAGCAGUGGGGAAUAUUGGACAAUGGGCGCAAGCCUGAUCCAGCCAUGCCGCGUGAGUGAUGAAGGCCUUAGGGUUGUAAAGCUCUUUUGUCCGGGACGAUAAUGACGGUACCGGAAGAAUAAGCCCCGGCUAACUUCGUGCCAGCAGCCGCGGUAAUACGAAGGGGGCUAGCGUUGCUCGGAAUCACUGGGCGUAAAGGGCGCGUAGGCGGCCAUUCAAGUCGGGGGUGAAAGCCUGUGGCUCAACCACAGAAUUGCCUUCGAUACUGUUUGGCUUGAGUAUGGUAAAGGUCGGUGGAACUGCGAGUGUAGAGGUGAAAUUCGUAGA
This 557-nucleotide ribosomal RNA is filed under the name uncultured Methylobacterium sp. RNAcentral's name for it is "bacterial SSU rRNA". It matches the Rfam family "Bacterial small subunit ribosomal RNA", at positions 102 to 694 of the family's 1533-position model. Lineage: Bacteria; Pseudomonadati; Pseudomonadota; Alphaproteobacteria; Hyphomicrobiales; Methylobacteriaceae. The record is from RNAcentral.